This 461-nucleotide ribosomal RNA is filed under the name uncultured bacterium. RNAcentral describes it as "partial 16S ribosomal RNA". It matches the Rfam family "Bacterial small subunit ribosomal RNA", at positions 338 to 795 of the family's 1533-position model. The record is from RNAcentral.
CCUACGGGAGGCAGCAGUGAGGAAUAUUGGUCAAUGGGCUUACGCCUGAACCAGCCAAGUCGCGUGAGGGAAGACUGCCCUAUGGGUUGUAAACCUCUUUUGUCAGGGAGCAACACCGGCUACGUGUAGCCGGACUGAGAGUACCUGAAGAAAAAGCAUCGGCUAACUCCGUGCCAGCAGCCGCGGUAAUACGGAGGAUGCGAGCGUUCUCCGGAAUGACUGGGCGUAAAGGGUGCGUAGGUGGUUCAGCAAGUUAGUAGCGUAACUCCGGGGCUCAACCUCGGCACUACGACUAAAACUGUUGGACGUGAGUGCAUGAGGGGCAACUGGAAUUCCUGGUGUAGCGGUGGAAUGCGUAGAUAUUAGGAGGAACACCAGUGGCGAAGGCGAGUUGCUGGACUGUAACUGACACUGAGGCACGAAAGCGUGGGGAGCAAACAGGAUUAGAUACCCCAGUAGUC